RNAcentral lists this ribosomal RNA (443 nucleotides) under uncultured bacterium. RNAcentral's name for it is "bacterial SSU rRNA". It matches the Rfam family "Bacterial small subunit ribosomal RNA", at positions 354 to 794 of the family's 1533-position model. The record is from RNAcentral.
UGAGGGAAUAUUGGGUCAAUGGGCGCAAGCCUGAACCAGCCAAGUAGCGUGAGGGAAGACUGCCCUACGGGUUGUAAACCUCUUUUGUUUGGGAAUAAAGUGCGGGACGCGUCCCGCAUUGCAUGUACCAUUUGAAUAAGGACCGGCUAAUUCCGUGCCAGCAGCCGCGGUAAUACGGAAGGUCCGGGCGUUAUCCGGAUUUAUUGGGUUUAAAGGGAGCGCAGGCGGGCUUUUAAGUCAGUUGUGAAAUCGGCGGCUCAACCGUCGGACUGCAGUUGAUACUGGAAGCCUUGAGUUCACACAGGGAUGCCGGAAUUCAUGGUGUAGCGGUGAAAUGCUCAGAUAUCAUGAAGAACCCCGAUCGCGAAGGCAGGCAUCCGGGGUGUUACUGACGCUGAGGCUCGAAAGUGCGGGUAUCAAACAGGAUUAGAUACCCUGGUAGU